This 85-nucleotide transfer RNA is filed under the name Priestia megaterium. Its description in RNAcentral is "Bacillus megaterium tRNA-Leu". It matches the Rfam family "tRNA". Rfam says of the family: Transfer RNA (tRNA) molecules are approximately 80 nucleotides in length. Lineage: Bacteria; Bacillati; Bacillota; Bacilli; Caryophanales; Bacillaceae. The record is from RNAcentral.
GCGGAUGUGGCGGAAUUGGCAGACGCGCUAGACUUAGGAUCUAGUGUCUUAUGACGUGGGGGUUCAAGUCCGGCCCUCGGCACCA